AGUGAACGCUGGCGGUAGGCCUAACACAUGCAAGUCGAACGGAAGCACAGUAAGAGCUUGCUCUUACGGGUGGCGAGUGGCGGACGGGUGAGGAAUACAUCGGAAUCUAAUUUUUCGUGGGGGAUAACGUAGGGAAACUUACGCUAAUACAGCAUACGACCUACGGGUGAAAGCAGGGGAUCUUCGGACCUUGCGCGAUUGAAUGAGACGAUGUCGGAUUAGCUAGUUGGCGGGGUAAAGGCCCACCAAGGCGACGAUCCGUAGCUGGUCUGAGAGGAUGAUCAGCCACACUGGAACUGAGACACGGUCCAGACUCCUACGGGAGGCAGCAGUGGGGAAUAUUCGACAAUGGGCGCAAGCCUGAUCCAGCCAUACCGCGUGGGUGAAGAAGGCCUUCGGGUUGUAAAGCCCUUUUGUUGGGAAAGAAAAUCAGCAGGUUAAUACCCCGCUGUUCUGACGGUACCCAAAGAAUAAGCACCGGCUAACUUCGUG
Molecule: ribosomal RNA, 492 nt
Filed under: uncultured bacterium
Lineage: Bacteria
Description: partial 16S ribosomal RNA
Rfam family: Bacterial small subunit ribosomal RNA
Source: RNAcentral